RNAcentral lists this signal recognition particle RNA (299 nucleotides) under Mandrillus leucophaeus (drill). RNAcentral's name for it is "Metazoan signal recognition particle RNA (ENSMLEG00000005725.1)". It matches the Rfam family "Metazoan signal recognition particle RNA". From Rfam's summary of the family: The signal recognition particle (SRP) is a universally conserved ribonucleoprotein. It is involved in the co-translational targeting of proteins to membranes. Lineage: Eukaryota; Metazoa; Chordata; Mammalia; Primates; Cercopithecidae. The record is from RNAcentral.
GCCGGGCGCGGUGGCGCGUGCCUGUAGUCCCAGCUACUAGGGAGGCUGAGGCUGGAGGAUCGCUUGAGCCCAGGAGUUCUGGGCUGUAGUGCGCUAUGCCGAUCGGGUGUCCGCACUAAGUUCGGCAUCAAUAUGGUGACCUCCCGGGAGCGGGGGACCACCAGGUUGCCUAAGGAGGGGUGAACCGGCCCAGGUCGGAAACGGAGCAGGUCAAAACUCCCGUGCUGAUCAGUAGUGGGAUCGCGCCUGUGAAUAGCCACUGCACUCCAGCCUGGGCAACAUAGCGAGACCCUGUCUCU